Molecule: long non-coding RNA, 864 nt
Organism: Camelus dromedarius (Arabian camel)
Lineage: Eukaryota; Metazoa; Chordata; Mammalia; Artiodactyla; Camelidae
Exons: 3
Source: RefSeq, a predicted model, not a curated record
UACUUACUGCACAGAGUUUGGUCUGAUGGUUAAAGCCAUCAGCCACCUGGGUUGAGUGCUGACCCAGCCCUGGGCCAACCGUGUGACUCUCCCCAGCCUCAGAGGGCGUUGCUGGCCCCACUGCGGGCAUCGUUGGAGGAAUUGCCUGAGAUGAUGCAGGUGGAGCACCGACACAUAGCCAACAUCUAUUACAAUCUUCUUGGAUGGUCCUCUGGACUGCAGGACAGCAGCUUUCCAACAGGAGAGUGCACCAGAAUCCCUGGGUUGGCUUGUUACAACACAGAUGCGGGAUCCCAUCCUUGGAGUUUCUGAUUCAGUAGAUCUGGGUGGGACCUGAUAACCUGCAUUUCCAACAGUUCCCAGGUGACGCUGCUGCUGCUGACCCCGGGACCCCACUCUGAGAACCACCAAGGAAGACUUUCUGUAACUAAGAAAGAGAAACCACGAUCCCCCCUGAAAUGACGGGAUCAUAGCCCUCAUCUGACUUUCAGUUCCGCCCAGGAAGCAGGUGGGGAGGCCUUUGAGACUGAGCUAAUCAGGAUUCUUCCAGUUGAAAGUGUCAGAAACCCAAUUCACAUUCUCCUAGACACAAAGAGGAUUCAUCGGCUGGUAGAAUAUGCAGAAGAUUCCAAACUGAGGGAUGGGAAAACUUGUCAUCCUCUCAGGUGCUAUGGACUGGCCUGAGAGUUCCCUGACAUAAGACAGAUGAACAGGAGAGAAGCACGUGCUUUGCUUAAUAUUUUUACAUGGACAUAGGCGUCUUCAACAGGAAAAUGAAGCCCCCAGCAUACUCUUAGGGCCCAGAGCGUACGUGCCUUUUUACAUAAAGAAUGACAGGUUAUAUUACCUCCCUCACCCUUCUUG